UCUAAAUUAGAUUAGUUUAAACUAAAUUAGUAGUAGAUAAAUACUUAAAAUUUAAAAAAUUUGGCGGCAAUUUAAUCUUUUCAGAGGAACCUGUUUUAUAAUCGAUAAACCACGAAAAAUCUUACUUGCUUUUGUUAAUUAACAGUUUGUAUACCAUCAUUAUCAGAUAAUUCUAAAAGGAGAAAUUAUUGUAUUUAAUGUAUUAAAAAAAUUAGAUCAUGGUGCAGUUUAUAGGCAAGAAAAAAUGGGUUACAAUAAAUUAUUUUAUUGCGAAUUAGUGAAGUAAAAUUUCUAUGAAGAAGGAUUUGAUUGUAUUUUUAGUUUAAUAAGCUAAAAAGAUAUAAGUUCUAAAUUGUGU
Molecule: ribosomal RNA, 358 nt
Filed under: Ptychognathus barbatus
Lineage: Eukaryota; Metazoa; Arthropoda; Malacostraca; Decapoda; Varunidae
Description: partial 12S ribosomal RNA
Source: RNAcentral